AGCUUUGCACAGUGGCAGCAUUGUAGCCAAUGAUGUUUAUCUGAGGCUUGAUAAUUGCUAAUUGAAUAUUGUAAUGUACAAUUCCUCAUUUAGUGUCCAAUUUAUGUAAAAACCUAUCACAGG
Cavia porcellus (domestic guinea pig) is the source of this 123-nucleotide small nuclear RNA. Its record names the gene U4. It matches the Rfam family "U4 spliceosomal RNA". From Rfam's summary of the family: U4 small nuclear RNA (U4 snRNA) is a component of the major U2-dependent spliceosome. NCBI's taxonomy places the organism in Eukaryota, Metazoa, Chordata, Mammalia, Rodentia, Caviidae. The record is from Ensembl.